RNAcentral lists this RNase P RNA (444 nucleotides) under Erythrobacter rubeus. Its description in RNAcentral is "Erythrobacter sp. KMU-140 RNase P RNA component class A". It matches the Rfam family "Bacterial RNase P class A". From Rfam's summary of the family: Ribonuclease P (RNase P) is a ubiquitous endoribonuclease, found in archaea, bacteria and eukarya as well as chloroplasts and mitochondria. Its best characterised activity is the generation of mature 5'-ends of tRNAs by cleaving the 5'-leader elements of precursor-tRNAs. Cellular RNase Ps are ribonucleoproteins. The record is from RNAcentral. Lineage: Bacteria; Pseudomonadati; Pseudomonadota; Alphaproteobacteria; Sphingomonadales; Erythrobacteraceae.
CAGGGGGCCGAGGCAGCCGCGUUAUCGCAAGAUACCGAGGAAAGUCCGGGCUCCACGAAACGAAGGUGGCGGGUAACGCCCGCCGGGCGAAAGUCUUCGGACCCAAGCUCAGGGAAAGUGCCACAGAGAGUAUACCGCCGAUGGCGCGCGCUGCUUGCAGCUCUGCGCACAGGCAAGGGUGAAAGGGUGCGGUAAAAGCGCACCGGGGCGCUGGUAACAGCGUCCGCAUGGCAAACCCCACCUGGAGCAAGGCCAAAUAGGGGUCUCGCGCUCGCCUUCGGGCAGGGCAGGAGUGGUUCGCUCCGAGAGACCCGGGUUGGCUGCUCGAGCUGCUCAGCAAUGGGCAGCCUAGACGAAUGGCUGCCACCGCAGUCCAGGUCUUUGGGCUUGUCCUGGAGAUACCGGCUGCGGAGACAGAACCCGGCUUAUGAGGCCCCCUGACGA